CCGCUUCGGGAUGGGCUCGCGGCCUAUCAGCUUGUUGGUGGGGUAAUGGCCUACCAAGGCAACGACGGGUAGCUGGUCUGAGAGGAUGUCCAGCCACACUGGGACUGAGACACGGCCCAG
Molecule: ribosomal RNA, 120 nt
Filed under: uncultured bacterium
Lineage: Bacteria
Description: partial 16S ribosomal RNA
Rfam family: Bacterial small subunit ribosomal RNA
Source: RNAcentral